RNAcentral lists this long non-coding RNA (4032 nucleotides) under Nicotiana benthamiana. RNAcentral describes it as "long non-coding RNA (NBEN_LNC042463)". The record is from RNAcentral. Lineage: Eukaryota; Viridiplantae; Streptophyta; Magnoliopsida; Solanales; Solanaceae.
UUAAGUGAAAUGUCUGAUACAAGAAAAAGGAUAAAAGCUUUUUUUUCUUGCAUGGUAAAAACACCCACCCAACCCAGAAGUGCACCACUUGCUUGUUCUCACUUUGCUCCCAUUGGUGACUCAACCUCCAACCAAAGGUUUGGAAUGGAGGGUCCUUACCAAUAGGAUAUACCCUCCCAUUGUCAAUGCAAGCAAAACACUAUAAAGCCAAAAAGCAUUUAUAUGGAUAAUGGAAUUGAAAAAUUAUACAAUUAAGUGAAAUGUAUGAAGUGAUGAAAGGCCAAUUUUGUUGGUGCUGUUGUUGUAUAAAUUUCAGAUGCAAAAAUACCCUCAUUGUUUCUUAUUUAAAUUUACAAAUAGUAUAUUACACUAAAUCCUAAAUUUAUCUGUCCUAAAAGCUCACACAUUCAUUCUUUCAUUUAGGAGCUAUGAAUAUCAUGUCAUGUCGUCCUCGUGGGUGCAGGCCAGUAAUCAACGAGACAUGCCUUAGUACAUGCACUAAGGCACCAUCAAAGUGAGGUGAAACGUCCAGCUUGCACUACAACUAGUUUCAGGUUUUAAGUGUGGUUCAACCGAUUUUUAACAACAUUGAGUAAUAAAUCCCAAAGCAUCAUGUUCACUUCAGUAGCUAAUGCAAAGAAACUGAACAAGUUCAUGUCGUCCUCGUGGGUGCAGGCCUAUGAGCAACAAGACAUACCUUCGUAUAUGCACUAAGGCGCCAUCAAAGUGAGGUGAAACGUCCAGCUUGCACUACAACUAGUUUCAGGUUUUAAGUGCGCUUCAACCGAUUUUUAACAACAUUGAGCAAUAAAUCCCAAAGCAUCAUGUUCAUCUCAGUAGCUAAUGCAAAGAAACUGAACAAGUCCCCCCCCCCCCCAAACCCCCCUUUUUCCCAAAACCCCNNNNNNNNNNNNNNNNNNNNNNNNNNNNNNNNNNNNNNNNNNNNNNNNNNNNNNNNNNNNNNNNNNNNNNNNNNNNNNNNNNNNNNNNNNNNNNNNNNNNNNNNNNNNNNNNNNNNCCAAACUCACCUUUUUCCCAAUACCCCGAGGAAAAAAGGGAAUAUAUAUAUUUUUUUUAUAACUGAAAGAUCCCCGCGGGCUUAUAUCGCACAGGAGCUUAGCCCUCUACCUUUCUCUACUUAAGUACCAUGCUUUUGCUUACAUCAUGGUUCGAGCCUAAGUUGCUCGGACAUGGGCGCGGGUAUCCGAUACGCGUGCGAAUCUAGAGAUCAGAUCUUCCGAGAUUUAAAUUCUAAAGUUCGGGAAUACGGAUCCUAGUACGGAUAGAGGUGCAAGAUCUGGCUGAAAAUAAUUCAAAAAAAAUAAAAAUACAAAAAUAUCUCUGAAAUACUUACGUAUAGCUAGUAAAGUGUAGAUUUUGUUUUUUAUUCUCAAGUUGUAGAUAAGUAAAGGAUUGAUUUUCUAGAUAAGGUAUGUUAUUUUAUUCAAACUUACCCUAGUUUUAGUUAUGGUUUCGAGAAUCAAAUUAUAUUCUCGUCUCGAAUUUUUCUGUCUGUCAUGGUCAAAGUACACAAAAUUGUUUGACCACAUCCCAUACGCACACCCAUAUUAGUGUCGCACGGAUAAAGCACCUAAUCUGCCGAGUCGAAGCAACUUAGGUUCGACCCAUGAUAAAGGCCAAAAAAAGAGACAUUUUCUUCCAGUGUAGUUUCUAUUCUUAUUUCCUAAGUUGUUAUAGCAAGCCAUCAUAGGCUCCACAUAGCAGAAAGACUAGCUUAACCAAACUAAAUUCAAUCUCUUCCCAACAGAUUAUUUGCUUCAAUGGGUGUUGAGCAAUGUCUUCCAAGAAAAUUCUUCUACGAACAUUCUUGACAACAUUCCUCUCCCAAACCCCCUCACUCCUCCAGAACCUCGCUCUGUGCCUCUCCCAUCCACCCAUCUUUUAACAGGAUGUCCUGUCCGAAGACACCGUAUUAUUUAUCAGAUGGUCAGAAUUGAGUCUCACUUUUGUUCUUCACCCCCAGAAGUGGAAACUGCCGUAAAAAUUGGUUUGAAUGGUGCAACAGCAAAAAAGACAUGUAGCUUCUAUGUGCAUAAUGGACAUGAGAACAAAUUUCACAGCGAAGAAGGAAAAUCCACUAGCAGAUCUUAACAUGGGUUAGUUACCUCCAUACGGAAGAGCUUGGUCGGUACAAUGACACCAAAUCCAGCUGAAGCUCGGACUAAUUCUUGGAAUUUCUGUAAAGACAAAUCUUUAUACGCAUUUUCUGUUAAUUUGUUCAGGCUUCCGGUACAAGCAAAAGCAUGGCCAUGAAUUCCAGCUUCUCUUAAUACCCGCAAUGGUAGAUCAAAAGAAAGGUCCGCAAAAGCAGUAACAGCAAGAUCUCCUCCCACAAAAUCCAUUGUGGAAGCUGCAUCAUAGCUCUCAUCACUGGAAUUCUCUACAACUUGCCUUCUAGGUUCAGCAGGUCCCAAUCCCCUGGUCUUGAAGCCCAAUAAAGAUGAUGGCCCCCCAAGUGCACAAACUGGAGAAGAAUUACCACCCAGAAAAAAUUUCUCAGGUAAAAAUAACAAUCGAAAAAUAUACUCUACAACUUGCCUUCUAGGUUCAGCAGGUCCCAAUCCCCUGGUCUUGAAGCCCAAUAAAGAUGAUGGCCCCCCAAGUGCACAAACUGGCGAAGAAUUACCACCCAGGAAAAAUUUCUCAGGUAAAGACGUAGGCAGACUUAAAAACCCACUUCCCCAUGGGACAGUUACACCAGCAGAAAUACCAAUGUUGAGAGCAGCAUUAAAAAAUCCCAGAGGUAAAGCAUAGCGGAAGUCCAACUCCUGCUCAGAAAUCCAUAAGUUUUGUUAUACUGUGGAUCUGAUAGUUCAGAAGUAUAUAUAUAGGUUCAGAAUCAGACUGUCAUAAUGGUGGGAAAUAUAUGAUUGAUAGAUACCAGACAAGAUGGCCAUAACAAGUUACAGAACCAUUCUACUGCCACUAGCAGUAAUCUAAAUGACAGUAAGUUAUAGAUUACAUCUGAAACAACAAAACAGAAUGGGUAGAAGGAAAAUUGCAGUUAAAUCUAACUAUUCAACAUCAACAGAAACCUAGAUAUCACACUAGUAACAGAAGUUAUUUAAGAAAAACUUAAAAGAGGUCACACAGAACGAACCUGACGGAGAAAGCGUAACCCCCGGUGAUCUGGUAGGAGGCCACCAAUUUGAGAAGACGAAAGAAAGGCAUAUCCUCGGGUUGGUCUCAGAGGAGAGUUCCUCCUAUCAAUUUUAAAUGUAUACUUUAGAGCGGAAAUUAAACUAUGCCCAAGCUGUCUCCUCACUGCUCUCGAUGACAUUUGUGAUGGGUCAGUCAAGGCUCGCCAAUAGAGACUGUAUGUCAAAUCAUGGCUUCUGGAUGACAGUAGGCCAAGAGAAAGUCCCAAAGCUCGUUCUUUGUAAGAAGAGAACUUCAGCCAAUCUUGAGAAAGAAGAGAUAAUCGAGCUGUCACAGGGGUGAUCAAUCUUUUGAAUCUGGGUAGACACACACCAGCACUAACCUCUGAAGUCAGGUCCCAGCCAUAAGCCAAAGACCCAUCCCAUAUGUCCCCAUAACCUAACAAGUUUUUCAGCUUCAAUGAACCUUCAAGUGACCAAGCUCUAGCCUACAGAAGCAAAUUGAAGUUUUAAUCAAAAUCCAAGAGAAAAACAGCAACUGAUGCAAGCAUGCUGCUUCUAUAAUUUCAAAGCAUGUUCACACACCAUGUGAGAGAACCCAAUAUACUGUUCACCAAUAGCAAGAUCACAGAACAGAUUUUAGUUACACAUGCAAACUGAAGUGAAAAAAAUAUAACAGCUUGAGUCUUUUCUCUCAUCUUUCUCUAUAGUAUCAAACUUUGGUUAUUGACUCUCUUCUUUAAAUAUUAGGUCUUUGGCAAAUAUCCCGAGAGACACUUAUUCUAUUUUUAUCCUUCAUAAUAUCAGGGUUUGCUAAUGAGGCCCUUAUCUCAAAAAUGAAUUUCCAGUCAAAGAAUGAAGGUUGCGGAGAUGAGGAUGCUUAGGUGGAUGUGUGGGCACACCAGGCUGGANN